ACCCUUGUCUCAUUCCGAGAUUGUGUGCUGAGGGUUUUCAACUGCAUCUCUAAAGGGAAGGCCAAAGAAAGAGCAACAGGAAAGGAUGGUAAAAAGGGGGUAGAAAGGAAGAAGGAAGGGAAGAAAAAAGGGAAAACAGCAAGCUCUCUUUCCAGAGCCACACAUUUUUUUCUGUUUGCUCAGUGGCAGUCUGUUAAAGAAAUACUUCAUUGUCACUGAACACAGAGUCAUUAAAGGCACCUUGGAAAUUUGGACCCUUUUACUAGAAUCAGGGCUUAAAUAGCAACUUAAUUUAUGACACUUCUCGAGGCUGAUGGCGUUUUUGCUCUAAGGCACACAGAGCACUGCAUUAUCUGUCAUUUUCAUUAGAUUCAAGCUACAGCUGGGCCAAAAAGACUUAGUUCUAGCAUAUGUGCUCAAAAUGGCCAAGCUGCGAUUGUCCAAAUUCACCCUUUCAAGAUUGCAUUACUGAACAACUGGAGCCAAAGCUAGAAAUUGGAGAGAGCAAAGCGCCUGAAUUCCACUUGGAAAAUGGCAAACACCAUAGGCUCUGAAGAUUGAAGCGUAUUAUCAUGACUAACUCAAAGGGUCAGAGGAGACACUGGCUUCCACCAGCAAGCUCAACGUCUUUUGGCACAUCUGAGACCUGCCUUGCAAGAAAUGUUAAAAGAAGUGCUUUAGAGAGCAGGGAAAUUCUAUAGGUCAGACACUUGGAUCUACAUAAAAAAAGGAAGAAACCAAAGGAGAAAUAAGUGAAGGGGCUUGAAGAAGAUAUCUAGAAAUGUCAAAGCAGAAGAGCCUCGGAGAUAAUCUGAACUAUUUCUGAGUUUAUAUAAGGGAAAACUGAGACUGGAGAGAACUAACAUGUCUAAUAUUACAAUGGAAACUUGUAAUAAAACCACAAAUUGAGUCAA
Homo sapiens (human) is the source of this 914-nucleotide long non-coding RNA. Ensembl annotates it as long intergenic non-protein coding RNA 1791. Lineage: Eukaryota; Metazoa; Chordata; Mammalia; Primates; Hominidae. The record is from Ensembl.